UACGUAGGGUGCGAGCGUUAAUCGGAAUUACUGGGCGUAAAGCGUGCGCAGGCGGUUUUGUAAGCCAGAUGUGAAAGCCCCGGGCUUAACCUGGGAAUGGCAUUUGGGACUGCAAGGCUGGAGUGUGGCAGAGGAGACUGGAAUUCCUGGUGUAGCAGUGAAAUGCGUAGAUAUGCGGAGGAACACCGAUGGCGAAGGCAAUCCCCUGGACCUGCACUGACGCUCAUGCACGAAAGCGUGGGGAGCAAACAGG
RNAcentral lists this ribosomal RNA (253 nucleotides) under uncultured bacterium. Its description in RNAcentral is "partial 16S ribosomal RNA". It matches the Rfam family "Bacterial small subunit ribosomal RNA", at positions 524 to 776 of the family's 1533-position model. The record is from RNAcentral.